GGGUUGUGGCUCAGUGGUAGAGCACUUGCCUAGCAUGCAGGAGGCACUGGGUUUGAUACCUGGUCCCA
Non-coding RNA from Ictidomys tridecemlineatus (thirteen-lined ground squirrel), 68 nucleotides. NCBI's taxonomy places the organism in Eukaryota, Metazoa, Chordata, Mammalia, Rodentia, Sciuridae. The record is from Rfam.